Long non-coding RNA from Ostrinia nubilalis (European corn borer), 216 nucleotides. RefSeq lists it as uncharacterized. The transcript has 2 exons. NCBI's taxonomy places the organism in Eukaryota, Metazoa, Arthropoda, Insecta, Lepidoptera, Crambidae. The record is from RefSeq and is a predicted model, not a curated record.
AGCCAAGACACUCCACGAGACUGGGAGAAAGCUCACAGUGAAAAAAUGGAGAGGAGUCGGAAUAAAUACGGAGAUGCAAGCAGGAGCAGCAAACCAAAAUUUUCUUCAGAGAGCUUUUAUUUUUGACUCGAAAUAAUUGUUUUUAUAAUAAGACAUUCGUUAGGUAUUUAGAAAUUGUAUUUUUUUGUUACUAAUAAAUGUGUAUAAUUUGGGAAA